GACGAACGCUGGCGGCGUGCUUAACACAUGCAAGUCGAACGGAAAGGCCCUGCUUUUGUGGGGUGCUCGAGUGGCGAACGGGUGAGUAACACGUGAGUAACCUGCCCUUGACUUUGGGAUAACUUCAGGAAACUGGGGCUCAUACCGGAUAGGAGCUCCUGCUGCAUGGUGGGGGUUGGAAAGUUUCGGCGGUUGGGGAUGGACUCGCGGCUUAUCAGCUUGUUGGUGUGGUAGUGGCUUACCAAGGCUUUGACGGGUAGCCGGCCUGGGCGGGUGACAGGCCACAUUGGGACUGAGAUACGGCCCAGCCUCCUCCGGGAGGCAGCAGUGGGGAAUAUUGCACAAUGGGCUGAAGCCUGAUGCAGCAACGCCGCGUGCGGUAUGACGGCCUUCGGGUUGUAUUCCGCUUUCGCCUGUGACGAAGCGUGAGUGACGGUAAUGGGUAAAGAAGCACCGGCUAACUACGUG
Molecule: ribosomal RNA, 468 nt
Filed under: uncultured bacterium
Lineage: Bacteria
Description: partial 16S ribosomal RNA
Rfam family: Bacterial small subunit ribosomal RNA
Source: RNAcentral